Molecule: long non-coding RNA, 359 nt
Organism: Cyprinus carpio carpio
Lineage: Eukaryota; Metazoa; Chordata; Actinopteri; Cypriniformes; Cyprinidae
Source: Ensembl
UUAAAUAACACGCUGACAUCUACAUGAACAACUCACGCAUUUAAUGAACCUUACACAGUCAACGAUGAGCCACUGACAUGAAUACCCUGCCCUUGACUGAGCCAGGAUGCGAUCUCACGACUGCAUGUGAAAGCGCUCACUGGCACGGUGCCCGUCAGAUCGAGACGUCAGAGCCGCACACACUCACGCUGGCACGGGUCCCAUCGCUGCGUCCGCCCAUGCGAGGCCACCGGGCUGUGACGUUACAGAGGGAUAAUUUUGGGAUGACGCAUGCCGGUUCUCUGCGUGGAAUCAUUUUGGCUGCAUGGAAGUCAAUGGCUACCGUCAGCUGUUUGGUUACCAACAUUCAAAAAUAUGUG